GUGAGGAAUUUUCCGCAAUGGGCGAAAGCCUGACGGAGCAAUGCCGCGUGAAGGAUGAAGGCCUAUGGGUUGUAAACUUCUUUUCUCAGAAAAGAAUUAUGACGGUAUCUGAGGAAUAAGCAUCGGCUAACUCUGUGCCAGCAGCCGCGGUAAGACAGAGGAUGCAAGCGUUAUUCGGAAUGAUUGGGCGUAAAGCGUCUGUAGGUUGUUUAAAAAGUAUUCUGUCAAAGAUUAGGGCUUAACCCUAGAUAGGCAGAAUAAACUUUUAAGCUAGAGUUUGGUAGAGGCAGAGGGAAUUCCCGGUGGAGCGGUGAAAUGCGUAGAUAUCGGGAGGAACACCAAAGGCGAAGGCACUCUGCUGGGCCAAUACUAACACUGAGAGACGAAAGCGAGGGGAGCAAAUGGGAUUAGAAACCCGAGUAGUCC
Molecule: ribosomal RNA, 426 nt
Filed under: uncultured bacterium
Lineage: Bacteria
Description: partial 16S ribosomal RNA
Rfam family: Bacterial small subunit ribosomal RNA
Source: RNAcentral